Molecule: ribosomal RNA, 122 nt
Filed under: Archaeospora sp.
Lineage: Eukaryota; Fungi; Glomeromycota; Glomeromycetes; Archaeosporales; Archaeosporaceae
Description: partial small subunit ribosomal RNA
Rfam family: Eukaryotic small subunit ribosomal RNA
Source: RNAcentral
UGUUGCGCGAUUAGCCAACGGAAGUUUGAGGCAAUAACAGGUCUGUGAUGCCCUUAGAUGUUCUGGGUCGCACGCGCGCUACACUGAUGAAGUCAACGAGUUCAUUUUGGCCGGAAGGCCCG